This 1516-nucleotide ribosomal RNA is filed under the name Ancylostoma caninum (dog hookworm). RNAcentral's name for it is "18S ribosomal RNA". The record is from RNAcentral. Lineage: Eukaryota; Metazoa; Nematoda; Chromadorea; Rhabditida; Ancylostomatidae.
CGAUGAUCCAUCUGCAGGUUCACCUACAGAUACCUUGUUACGACUUUUACCCGGUUCAAGCCAUUGCGAUUGAACUGUUUCCCGCCAUAACGCGACCCGAAGGCCUCGAUACAGCAGUCCGCAGUCCUCUCGAGACAGCUCAGUCCCGGACAGCGACGGGCGGUGUGUACAAAUGGCAGGGACGUAAUCAGCGUGAGCUGAUGACUCACACUUACUAGGAAUUCCUCGUUCAAGGGAAAUAAUUACAAUUCCCUAUCCCGGUCACGGAAGAGUUUCAACGGUUUACCAAUGCCUUUCGGCAAUGGAUAGGCCAGCUGAUUCUUCCAUUGUAGCGCGCGUGCAGCCCCGGACAUCUAAGGGCAUCACAGACCUGUUAUCGCUCAAUCUCGUGCGGCUAAACACCGCUUAUCCCUCUAAGAAGUAGACUGGACGUAAAAAUCCAGCCACUAUUUAGCAGGCUAGAGUCUCGCUCGUUAUCGGAAUAAACCAGACAAAUCGCUCCACCAACUAAGAACGGCCAUGCACCACCAACCACCAAAUCGAGAAAGAGCUUUCAAUCUGUCAAUCCUUACGGUCUCCGGGCAGGGUGAGUUUUUUCGUUGAGUCAAAUUAAGCCGCAGGCUCCACUCCUGGUGGUGCCAUUCCAUCAAUUUCUUCAAGUUUCAGCUUUGCAACCUCCGACCUUCGAACCUCUGACUUUCGUUCUUGAUUAAUGAAGACAUUCUUGGCAAAUGCUUUCGCUUUCCCCCUGCGGUCCACGAAUUCCACCCUCUCGCGCAGGAAUACGAAUGCCCCCAAAUUGUCCCUCUUAACCAUUAUUUCAGUUCCUAAACCAACAAAUAGAACUGAAAUCCUCUUUUAUUAUUCCAUGAUCGAGCAUUCAAGCAAACACUUGUUCUAAGCACUCUAAUUUAUUCAAAGUAAACUCGCUAGCCACUAAAGAAGCCAAAACUUCAGUAGAAAACCAGCAAAUAGUCGCAACAGCGAUUAACGCCAGAGGCGAACCACUGAGAUGACUGAGAUCCAACUACGAGCUUUUUAAACGCAGCAACCGCAGUUCCAUAGGAAUGGUCUUUCUAUUUUUAGUCACCAUCUCAUCUCUUCAAGAGUGGAUAAGUUACGCGCCUGCUGCCUUCCUUGGAUGUGGUAGCCGUUUCUAAGGCUCCCUCUCCGGAGUCGAACCCUUAGUCUGCAUUGCCCGUAAUAACCAUGGUAGACUAAUAGACUACCAUCAGGUUGAUAGAGCAGAAACUUUUCCGGAAUGUCAGCGGACAAGCCGCCCAUAUGCAGCGUCAUUUGGAAUCAGCAAACUACACCCGAAGGUGAUUGAUUUGCUCUAAUAACUGCACCCUUUCGAAAGUCAGGGUUUAUUCGCAUGUAUUAGCUCCAGAAUUGCCACAGUUAUCCAAAGGACUUUCCGAAUAAGUGACAUCUGCUCUGAAGAGCCGUUUGCAGUCUCUUUUUUCUCACCAACAAACGACCGAGAAAAGUAAAUUCCCACAGGACGACACCAGUU